AUCCUAAUAGCUUAUUAGAGCAUGAUAUUGAAGAUGUCAAGGAGGUUUAAAAUCUUAGGAUA
This 62-nucleotide transfer RNA is filed under the name Pyrophorus divergens (Brazilian luminescent click beetle). Its description in RNAcentral is "tRNA-Phe". Lineage: Eukaryota; Metazoa; Arthropoda; Insecta; Coleoptera; Elateridae. The record is from RNAcentral.